This 639-nucleotide ribosomal RNA is filed under the name uncultured bacterium. RNAcentral's name for it is "bacterial SSU rRNA". It matches the Rfam family "Bacterial small subunit ribosomal RNA", at positions 232 to 885 of the family's 1533-position model. The record is from RNAcentral.
CGCGGCCUAUCAGCUUGUUGGUGGGGUAACGGCCUACCAAGGCUCCGACGGGUAGCCGGCCUGAGAGGACGAUCAGCCACACUGGGACUGAGACACGGCCCAGACUCCUACGGGAGGCAGCAGUUAGGAAUCUUGCACAAUGGGGGAAACCCUGAUGCAGCGACGCCGCGUGCGGGACGAAGGCCCUCGGGUCGUAAACCGCUUUCAGCAGGAACGAAAUUGACGGUACCUGCAGAAGAAGCCCCGGCCAACUACGUGCCAGCAGCCGCGGUAAUACGUAGGGGGCAAGCGUUGUCCGGAUUCAUUGGGCGUAAAGAGCUCGUAGGCGGUUCAGUAAGUCAGGUGUGAAAUCUCCGCGCUCAACGCGGAGCGGCCACCUGAUACUGCUGUGACUCGAGUCCGGUAGGGGAGUGUGGAAUUCCCGGUGUAGCGGUGAAAUGCGCAGAUAUCGGGAGGAACACCAGUGGCGAAGGCGGCACUCUGGGCCGUGACUGACGCUGAGGAGCGAAAGCGUGGGUAGCAAACAGGAUUAGAUACCCUGGUAGUCCACGCCGUAAACGUUGGGCACUAGGUGUGGGUCUCUAUCGACGGGAUCCGUGCCGUAGCUAACGCAUUAAGUGCCCCGCCUGGGGAGUACGG